Non-coding RNA from Ictidomys tridecemlineatus (thirteen-lined ground squirrel), 69 nucleotides. The record is from Rfam. NCBI's taxonomy places the organism in Eukaryota, Metazoa, Chordata, Mammalia, Rodentia, Sciuridae.
GGGGUUGUAGCUCAGUGGUAGAGCGCUCGCCUAGCAUGCGUGGGUCCCUGGGUUAGAUCCUCAGCACCA